Molecule: ribosomal RNA, 440 nt
Filed under: uncultured bacterium
Lineage: Bacteria
Description: partial 16S ribosomal RNA
Rfam family: Bacterial small subunit ribosomal RNA
Source: RNAcentral
CCUACGGGUGGCUGCAGUGGGGAAUAUUGCACAAUGGGGGAAACCCUGAUGCAGCGACGCCGCGUGAGUGAAGAAGUAAUUCGUUAUGUAAAGCUCUAUCAGCAGGGAAGAAAAUGACGGUACCUGAGUAAGAAGCCCCGGCUACCUCGGGGCAAGCAGCCGCGGUAAACGGUAGGGGGCAGGCGUUAUCCGGAUUUACGGGGUGUAAAGGGAGCGUAGACGGCAGUGCAAGUCUGGAGUGAAAGGCGGGGGCUCAACCCCCGGACUGCUCUGGAAACUGUACGGCUGGAGUGCAGGAGAGGUAAGUGGAAUUCCUAGUGUAGCGGUGAAAUGCGUAGAUAUUAGGAGGAACACCAGUGGCGAAGGCGGCUUACUGGACUGUAACUGACGUUGAGGCUCGAAAGCGUGGGGAGCAAACAGGAUUAGAUACCCGGGUAGUC